Molecule: ribosomal RNA, 274 nt
Filed under: uncultured bacterium
Lineage: Bacteria
Description: partial 16S ribosomal RNA
Rfam family: Bacterial small subunit ribosomal RNA
Source: RNAcentral
AUACGGAGGGUGCAAGCGUUGUCCGGAUUUAUUGGGUUUAAAGGGUGCGUAGGUGGUUUAUUAAGUCAGUGGUGAAAUCCUGCAGCUUAACUGUGGAACUGCCAUUGAUACUGGUAAACUUGAGUACUGUUGAGGCAGGCGGAAUUUAUGGUGUAGCGGUGAAAUGCAUAGAUACCAUAAAGAACACCGAUAGCGAAGGCAGCUUGCUUAGCAGUUACUGACACUGAUUCACGAAAGCGUGGGUAGCGAACAGGAUUAGAAACCCCUGUAGUCC